GACGAACGCUGGCGGCGUGCCUAAUACAUGCAAGUUGAGCGAUGAAGAUUGGUGCUUGCACCAAUUUGAAGAGCAGCGAACGGGUGAGUAACGCGUGGAGAAUCUGCCUUUGAGCGGGGGACAACAUUUGGAAACGAAUGCUAAUACCGCAUAAUAACUUUAAACAUAAGUUUUAAGUUUGAAAGAUGCAAUUGCAUCACUCAAAGAUGAUCCCGCGUUGUAUUAGCUAGUUGGUGAGGUAAAGGCUCACCAAGGCGAUGAUACAUAGCCGACCUGAGAGGGUGAUCGGCCACAUUGGGACUGAGACACGGCCCAAACUCCUACGGGAGGCAGCAGUAGGGAAUCUUCGGCAAUGGACGAAAGUCUGACCGAGCAACGCCGCGUGAGUGAAGAAGGGUUUCGGAUCGUAAAACUCUGUUGGUAGAGAAGAACGUUGGUGAGAGUGGAAAGCUCAUCAAGUGACGGUAACUACACAGAAAGGGACGGCUAACUACGUG
Molecule: ribosomal RNA, 497 nt
Filed under: uncultured bacterium
Lineage: Bacteria
Description: partial 16S ribosomal RNA
Rfam family: Bacterial small subunit ribosomal RNA
Source: RNAcentral